This 483-nucleotide ribosomal RNA is filed under the name uncultured bacterium. RNAcentral describes it as "partial 16S ribosomal RNA". It matches the Rfam family "Bacterial small subunit ribosomal RNA", at positions 28 to 507 of the family's 1533-position model. The record is from RNAcentral.
GACGAACGCUGGCGGCGUGCUUAACACAUGCAAGUCGAACGCUGAAGCUCAGCUUUUGUUGGGUGGAUGAGUGGCGAACGGGUGAGUAACACGUGAGUAACCUGCCCCCUUCUUUGGGAUAACGCCCGGAAACGGGUGCUAAUACUGGAUAUUCACUGGUCUUCGCAUGGUGGUUGGUGGAAAGGGUUUUUCUGGUGGGGGAUGGGCUCGCGGCCUAUCAGCUUGUUGGUGGGGUGAUGGCCUACCAAGGCUUUGACGGGUAGCCGGCCUGAGAGGGUGACCGGUCACAUUGGGACUGAGAUACGGCCCAGACUCCGACGGGAGGCAGCAGUGGGGAAUAUUGGACAAUGGGCGCAAGCCUGAUGCAGCGACGCCGCGUGAGGGAUGGAGGCCUUCGGGUUGUGAACCUCUUUCGCUAAUGGUCAAGCCGCAACAAUGGUUGUGGUGAGGGUAGUGGGUAAAGAAGCGCCGGCUAACUACGUG